Long non-coding RNA from Melanotaenia boesemani (Boeseman's rainbowfish), 646 nucleotides. RefSeq lists it as uncharacterized. The transcript is spliced from 3 exons. Lineage: Eukaryota; Metazoa; Chordata; Actinopteri; Atheriniformes; Melanotaeniidae. The record is from RefSeq and is a predicted model, not a curated record.
AGUGCUCAGCGUGCCUCCUCCACCAGAGAAAAUGCAGCUUUAAUAAGUGACCUCCACCAACAUGUAACUGGUUCUUACGUUGUCCGUGCUCCAACUCUCCACCAAGUUCCACAAAAUUCAGCUGCAAUCUUGCUGCUCUCGGCUGGAUGAAGAAUCAGGUGUGGUGCUCCCACCAUCCUCCUGCCUGGAUAACUGCUUCGGAUCAGCUUCAACAUGGCAACACCUUCUGGUUUUUUUUGGCCUUGAAGAACUCAGAACUCUAAUUUCCUAAUCAAGGAGUUUAGGUCAGACAAGUGGAAGAAUGGGAGCGAAGGUGCCAAUGUUAAUAACAUCUGGAAAAGGUUCAUCUGGAGCGGGUGCCAAAGCAAUCAGGCUGAAUGUAUACAUGUUAGGCCAAAUCAAGCACAUUCGGCCUGCAUGCCGGCCCUCUGGUACCAUCAGCAUGACACUAAAAAGGCGGCGGAGAUGCAGCCUGAGGGAGAAUUCUGCUCUUCAGCCAAAGGCUUCCUUGGAAUAAGGAAGGAGCUCCAUCAGGGCUCUCUGUCUGACACAAAGCAGGAAUAAAGUUGAGUUGCUAAACAGUCAAACUUCCAACUGUUGACCCCAUACAACAUGAAGUCGCGGAGACCACUUCCUGUUGGCGUGG